GAUGAACGCUGGCGGCGUGCCUAAUACAUGCAAGUCGAGCGAACAGACGAGGAGCUUGCUCCUCUGACGUUAGCGGCGGACGGGUGAGUAACACGUGGAUAACCUACCUAUAAGACUGGGAUAACUUCGGGAAACCGGAGCUAAUACCGGAUAAUAUAUUGAACCGCAUGGUUCAAUAGUGAAAGACGGUUUUGCUGUCACUUAUAGAUGGAUCCGCGCCGCAUUAGCUAGUUGGUAAGGUAACGGCUUACCAAGGCAACGAUGCGUAGACGACCUGAGAGGGUGAUCGGCCACACUGGAACUGGGACACGGUCCAGACUCCUACGGGAGGCAGCAGUAGGGAAUCUUCCGCAAUGGGCGAAAGCCUUACGGAGCAACGCCGCGUGAGUGAUGAAGGUCUUCGGAUCGUAAAACUCUGUUAUUAGGGAAGAACAAAUGUGUAAGUAACUAUGCACGUCUUGACGGUACCUAAUCAGAAAGCCACGGCUAACUACGUG
This 497-nucleotide ribosomal RNA is filed under the name uncultured bacterium. RNAcentral describes it as "partial 16S ribosomal RNA". It matches the Rfam family "Bacterial small subunit ribosomal RNA", at positions 28 to 507 of the family's 1533-position model. The record is from RNAcentral.